UGUCAUUUGAAAGGGGGCCAUAGUGU
This 26-nucleotide non-coding RNA is filed under the name Mus musculus (house mouse). The record is from RNAcentral. Lineage: Eukaryota; Metazoa; Chordata; Mammalia; Rodentia; Muridae.